GACGAACGCUGGCGGCGUGCUUAACACAUGCAAGUCGAACGGCAACGCCCUGCUUUUGUGGGGUGCUCGAGUGGCGAACGGGUGAGUAACACGUGAGUAACCUGCCCUUGACUUUGGGAUAACUUCAGGAAACUGGGGCUAAUACCGGAUAGGAGCCCCUGCUGCAUGGUGGGGGUUGGAAAGUUUCGGCGGUUGGGGAUGGACUCGCGGCUUAUCAGCUUGUUGGUGGGGUAGUGGCUUACCAAGGCUUUGACGGGUAGCCGGCCUGAGAGGGUGACCGGCCACAUUGGGACUGAGAUACGGCGCAGACUCCUACGGGGGGCAACAGUGGGGAAUAUUGCACAAUGAGCGGAAGCCUGAUGAGGCAACGCCGCGUGCGGGAUGACGGCCUUCGGGUUGUAAACCGCUUUCGCCUGUGACGAAGCGUGAGUGACGGUAAUGGGUGAAGAAGCACCGGCUAACUACGUG
RNAcentral lists this ribosomal RNA (468 nucleotides) under uncultured bacterium. RNAcentral describes it as "partial 16S ribosomal RNA". It matches the Rfam family "Bacterial small subunit ribosomal RNA", at positions 28 to 507 of the family's 1533-position model. The record is from RNAcentral.